AAGUCGUAACAAGGUUUCCGUAGGUGAACCUGCGGAAGGAUCAUUACAAAUAAAGCCGGUAGGAGGUGGGGUCUUGAUCUGUAAGUGAUAGAGCGAACAGCUCGGCUGCCUCCCGAAAUGUCUUACAUGCCCCCACACCUGCAGGCAGGCAUAAUCAACCACUUGAUUAUCUACACUUGUUGCUUUGGGGUGCUCAAGUGCCCCAGAGGACCCAAAUCUCUUGCAUUUAGUGACGUCUGAGUACUACGUAAUAUUUAAAA
Molecule: unclassified non-coding RNA, 260 nt
Filed under: plant metagenome
Description: partial contains small subunit ribosomal RNA and internal transcribed spacer 1
Rfam family: Eukaryotic small subunit ribosomal RNA (bases 1-46)
Source: RNAcentral